GCAGUCGAGCGGUAGCACAGAGAGCUUGCUCUCGGGUGACGAGCGGCGGACGGGUGAGUAAUGUCUGGGAAACUGCCUGAUGGAGGGGGAUAACUACUGGAAACGGUAGCUAAUACCGCAUAACGUCGCAAGACCAAAGUGGGGGACCUUCGGGCCUCAUGCCAUCAGAUGUGCCCAGAUGGGAUUAGCUAGUAGGUGGGGUAAUGGCUCACCUAGGCGACGAUCCCUAGCUGGUCUGAGAGGAUGACCAGCCACACUGGAACUGAGACACGGUCCAGACUCCUACGGGAGGCAGCAGUGGGGAAUAUUGCACAAUGGGCGCAAGCCUGAUGCAGCCAUGCCGCGUGUAUGAAGAAGGCCUUCGGGUUGUAAAGUACUUUCAGCGAGGAGGAAGGCGUUAAGGUUAAUAACCUUGGUGAUUGACGUUACUCGCAGAAGAAGCACCGGCUAACUCCGUGCCAGCAGCCGCGGUAAUACGGAGGGUGCAAGCGUUAAUCGGAAUUACUGGGCGUAAAGCGCACGCAGGCGGUCUGUCAAGUCGGAUGUGAAAUCCCCGGGCUCAACCUGGGAACUGCAUUCGAAACUGGCAGGCUAGAGUCUUGUAGAGGGGGGUAGAAUUCCAGGUGUAGCGGUGAAAUGCGUAGAGAUCUGGAGGAAUACCGGUGGCGAAGGCGGCCCCCUGGACAAAGACUGACGCUCAGGUGCGAAAGCGUGGGGAGCAAACAGGAUUAGAUACCCUGGUAGUCCACGCCGUAAACGAUGUCGACUUGGAGGUUGUGCCCUUGAGGCGUGGCUUCCGGAGCUAACGCGUUAAGUCGACCGCCUGGGGAGUACGGCCGCAAGGUUAAAACUCAAAUGAAUUGACGGGGGCCCGCACAAGCGGUGGAGCAUGUGGUUUAAUUCGAUGCAACGCGAAGAACCUUACCUACUCUUGACAUCCAGAGAACUUAGCAGAGAUGCUUUGGUGCCUUCGGGAACUCUGAGACAGGUGCUGCAUGGCUGUCGUCAGCUCGUGUUGUGAAAUGUUGGGUUAAGUCCCGCAACGAGCGCAACCCUUAUCCUUUGUUGCCAGCGAUUAGGUCGGGAACUCAAAGGAGACUGCCAGUGAUAAACUGGAGGAAGGUGGGGAUGACGUCAAGUCAUCAUGGCCCUUACGAGUAGGGCUACACACGUGCUACAAUGGCAUAUACAAAGAGAAGCGACCUCGCGAGAGCAAGCGGACCUCAUAAAGUAUGUCGUAGUCCGGAUUGGAGUCUGCAACUCGACUCCAUGAAGUCGGAAUCGCUAGUAAUCGUAGAUCAGAAUGCUACGGUGAAUACGUUCCCGGGCCUUGUACACACCGCCCGUCACACCAUGGGAGUGGGUUGCAAAAGAAGUAGGUAGCUUAACCUUCGGGAGGGCGCU
This 1404-nucleotide ribosomal RNA is filed under the name Klebsiella sp. Its description in RNAcentral is "bacterial SSU rRNA". It matches the Rfam family "Bacterial small subunit ribosomal RNA". Lineage: Bacteria; Pseudomonadati; Pseudomonadota; Gammaproteobacteria; Enterobacterales; Enterobacteriaceae. The record is from RNAcentral.